CCCCAGAUGUUGCUGAACUACAACUCCCAUGAUUCUCUUACAAUCUAUGUAAUUCAAAGAAUCAUGGGAGUUGUAGUUCAGCAACAUCUGGGG
Molecule: microRNA precursor, 93 nt
Filed under: Pelobates cultripes (western spadefoot toad)
Lineage: Eukaryota; Metazoa; Chordata; Amphibia; Anura; Pelobatidae
Source: RNAcentral